GACGAACGCUGGCGGCGUGCUUAACACAUGCAAGUCGAACGGAAAGGCCCUGCUUUUGUGGGGUGCUCGAGUGGCGAACGGGUGAGUAACACGUGAGUAGCCUGCCCUUGACUUUGGGAUAACUUCAGGAAACUGGGGCUAAUACCGGAUAGGAGCUCCUGCUGCAUGGUGGGGGUUGGAAAGUUUCGGCGGUUGGGGAUGGACUCGCGGCUUAUCAGCUUGUUGGUGGGGUAGUGGCUUACCAAGGCUUUGACGGGUAGCCGGCCUGAGAGGGUGACCGGCCACAUUGGGACUGAAAUACGGCCCAGACUCCUACGGGAGGCAGCAGUGGGGAAUAUUGCACAAUGGGCGGAAGCCUGAUGCAGCAACGCCGCGUGCGGGAUGACGGCCUUCGGGUUGUAAACCGCUUUCGCCUGUGACGAAGCGUGAGUGACGGUAAUGGGUAAAGAAGCACCGGCUAACUACGUG
This 468-nucleotide ribosomal RNA is filed under the name uncultured bacterium. RNAcentral's name for it is "partial 16S ribosomal RNA". It matches the Rfam family "Bacterial small subunit ribosomal RNA", at positions 28 to 507 of the family's 1533-position model. The record is from RNAcentral.